Non-coding RNA from Phascolarctos cinereus (koala), 1216 nucleotides. The record is from the annotation of a RefSeq genome assembly. NCBI's taxonomy places the organism in Eukaryota, Metazoa, Chordata, Mammalia, Diprotodontia, Phascolarctidae.
AUGGUCUCUGAACACAAAGGCUUGUCUCAACCAUUCCAAACUGCAACCUGUGUUUCCUUUUCAGAUUCCAAGGUCCAACCGAAGCUCUUCCCCCUAAUCCGAGUCAGCUCUGAUAGUGACUCAGUAGUCAUAGGCUGCUUGGCUUACAGCUUCUUCCCAGAGCCUGUGAACAUAACCUGGGAAAGUGGUUCCGAAGGCACAGUGAGGAGCUACCCAGCUGUGCUGAUUGGCAGCACCUACACUCAAACCAGUGUGCUAGACCUUCCUGCGGAUCAGUGCCCUGAUACCAAGAGCUAUCAGUGCCAAGUAGAACACUACACAGCUACUAACAACGUGGAGGUUUCCUGCGAAAGCUGCGAAGGGAUCGACAAGGAUACUGGUUGCACAACAUCAACUACACAUGUAUCCCUGAGUCCUCCCUCCCUGGAGAGCUUGCUCCUGGGCACAGGCGUAAACCUGACAUGUACACUCAGCGGCCUCAACGAUGGUAAUGGAGCCGAGUUUACCUGGACGCACAUUUCAGACGAGUCAUCAACUUCCAGCAUUAUCGAGGGAACACCUGAGAAGGACUCCAGUGGCAAGUACAGUGUGACCAGUGUCCUGGAGAUCUGUGCUGAGGAGUGGCUCCGUGGGGAUACUUUUUCCUGUACUGUGUCCCACUCUGAGAUAGAAACUAUUACCAAGACCAUCGCCAAGGAACAAGUGACCCAGAUACCACCCCAAGUCUACCUGCUGCCCCCAUCUGCAGAUGAACUAGCUUUAAAUGAACUGGUCUCAAUCACAUGCCUGGUGAGGGGUCACAGCCCAUCGGAAGCGUUGAUACAGUGGCUGAAGGGGUCUGAGAAGUUGCCCGGAGAGGACUACAUCAUCAGUGGCCCUUACCCAGAACCAAAGGGCAACAGCACCUUUCUAAUUUCCAGCAUCCUCCAAGUCUCAGCCUCUGAAUGGAAGGCAGAAAACAAAUACACCUGUGUGGUAGGCCAUGAAGCUCUUCCCCUGAACUUCACCCAGCAAACUAUCGACCAAUUCUCUGGUAAACCCACCAAUGUCAAUGUAUCUGUCAUCCUGUCUGAUGUCUAUGGCACUUGCUAUUAAACCUAGCCUAAACCAUCAGGCCCCCAUCACUGCCCAGAAAUUGAGUUACAAGGCAAGAGUGAAGGGGAAGUAGAUCUAUAGAAAAGUAUCUAAUGGAAUAAAUCUUGACACUCAGAAGCAA